CAAAAACAUUGCCUCUCGACUCAACAAUGAGAGGUUCAUCCUGCCCAAUGACAACAUAGUUCAAUGGCCGCGGUACCCUGACCGUGCAAAGGUAGCAUAAUCACUUGCCCCUUAAUUAGGGGCUGGCAUGAAAGGACACACGAAAGCUUCCCUGUCUCACAAUAACAAAUAAAAAUUAAUCUUCAAGUGAAAAAGCUUGAAUGAAACUGCAGGACAAGAAGACCCCGUUGAGCUUUAUUCUCUAUAGACUAAAUCAAAUAUUAAAUAUAUCAUAAACCUAAAAAGAAUUUAGUUGGGGUGACUAAGGAACACCAAAAACUUCCUUUUAUUAGUUAGGAUCAUUCUCCCUACAAAUUGACCCAUUACACAUGAUCAAAAAAAUAAGCUACCACAGGGAUAACAGGCUAAUCUUUCUCAAGAGCCCAAAUUGUCAGAAAGGAUUGGCACCUCGAUGUUGGCUUAGGGGCCCCUAAUGGUGCAGAAGCCAUAAAUGGUAGGUUUGUUCAACCUUUAAAACCCUACGUGAUCUG
This 530-nucleotide ribosomal RNA is filed under the name Lamellibrachia donwalshi. Its description in RNAcentral is "partial large subunit ribosomal RNA". It matches the Rfam family "Bacterial large subunit ribosomal RNA", at positions 1808 to 2607 of the family's 2925-position model. Lineage: Eukaryota; Metazoa; Annelida; Polychaeta; Sabellida; Siboglinidae. The record is from RNAcentral.